GGAAUAUUGGACAAUGGGCGCAAGCCUGAUCCAGCAAUGCCGCGUGUGUGAAGCAGGCCUUCGGGUUGUAAAGCACUUUUAUCGGGAGCGAAAAGCGACGGGUGAAUAUCCCGGCGUCAUGACGGUACCCGAGGAAUAAGCACCGGCUACAGUCGUGCCAGCAGCCGCGGUAAGACGAAGGGUGCAAGCGUUAGUCGGAAUUACUGGGCGUAAAGCGUGCGUAGGCGGUUGGUUAAGUCGGAUGUGAAAGCCCUGGGCUCAACCUGGGAAUGGCACUCGAUACUGGCCAGCUGGAGUAAGGUAGAGGAUGGUGGAAUUCCCGGUGUAGCGGUGAAAUGCGUAGAGAUCGGGAGGAACAUCUGUGGCGAAGGCGGCCAUCUGGACCAUUACUGACGCUGAGGCACGAAAGCGUGGGGAGCAAA
This 422-nucleotide ribosomal RNA is filed under the name uncultured bacterium. RNAcentral's name for it is "bacterial SSU rRNA". It matches the Rfam family "Bacterial small subunit ribosomal RNA", at positions 358 to 772 of the family's 1533-position model. The record is from RNAcentral.